GCGAUUGUAGCUCAGUUGGUUAGAGUAGCGGGUUGUGGUUCCGUUGGCCGGGGGUUCGAAUCCCCUCAUUCGCC
This 74-nucleotide transfer RNA is filed under the name Sediminitomix flava. It matches the Rfam family "tRNA". From Rfam's summary of the family: Transfer RNA (tRNA) molecules are approximately 80 nucleotides in length. Their secondary structure includes four short double-helical elements and three loops (D, anti-codon, and T loops). Further hydrogen bonds mediate the characteristic L-shaped molecular structure. tRNAs have two regions of fundamental functional importance: the anti-codon, which is responsible for specific mRNA codon recognition, and the 3' end, to which the tRNAs corresponding amino acid is attached (by aminoacyl-tRNA synthetases). tRNAs cope with the degeneracy of the genetic code in two manners: having more than one tRNA (with a specific anti-codon) for a particular amino acid; and 'wobble' base-pairing, i.e. permitting non-standard base-pairing at the 3rd anti-codon position. The record is from Rfam by way of RNAcentral. Lineage: Bacteria; Pseudomonadati; Bacteroidota; Cytophagia; Cytophagales; Flammeovirgaceae.